Molecule: long non-coding RNA, 370 nt
Filed under: Mytilus galloprovincialis (Mediterranean mussel)
Lineage: Eukaryota; Metazoa; Mollusca; Bivalvia; Mytilida; Mytilidae
Source: RNAcentral
CUUGUGUACAAUUUGGAAUUUAGUAUGGCGUUCAUUAUCACUGAACUAGUAUAUAUUUGUUUAGGGGCCAGCUGAAGGACGCCUCCGGGUGCGGGAAUUUCUCGCUACAUUGAAGACCUGUUGGUGACCUUUUGCUGUUGUUUUUUUCUAUGGUCGGGUUGUUGUCUCUUUGGCACAUUCUCCAUUUCCAUUCUCAAUUUUACGUAUAGGAGCCAGGGGAAAAAAGGUGACAAAACUAUGCCCCCUCCCAUUUAAGAACAAAAUUGAAACUAAAAAUGAAAAUGAAAGAGAACCACACAAUCACUAAAUUUAAGAUUAUUACACUACAUAGAAAAUAGUUUUUUUUUCUUGUCACUUUCAGAAGUUUGCC